AUGGAGCCAACCGGAGGAAGGGUAGGAAGAGACAGCAUGGAUGCAGGUGGAUGUGGGCGCCAGGGCCGCCACCAAGGAUGUAGGGGUCGUGCCACAAUGGGCAAGGAUGCGUUAGGCACGCCGAAACUGACGAGGACACGGAAUGAUUGCAGAGCGAGCGGGCAACCAGGCAGCGCGGGUAGAGCGCUUGGAGCAGGCGUGCACCCAGCUCUUGUAAAUGGGCCGGCCCAAAACGAUCAGGCGCAUACAACGCAGAUUAGGAGCUCCCCAACGUAUCACCCUAAAAAGGAAGAAAAAAUAGAAAUAAUGACGGCGCCGCCACCGGCCUUCUAUCCGACGCCCGCGUAUGUGCACGCCAUGCGCGUCGAGGGCGCUCACAUCAAUCUCCCCGUCCGCCUCGCCAUGAACGGCGCCAACUACACUGUCUGGCGGGGGAUGAUGCUGGACGUCAUCGAUCAGUAUGACGUCGCCUCAUGGAUCGCGCCGGACUUCGCCGACCACGCCGGCGACGCGAGCUGGAACAUCGUCAACAAGGCCAUGAAGCGGUGGUUCCUCGGCGUGAUGGUGACGGAGCUCGCCGCCUUCAUGCUCGACCGGGAAGCCACCGCCGCCCAGACCUGGGCCUCCGUCGAGGCUCUCUUCGUCAACAACCGUCGGACGCGACGGUUCCAGCUCCAGACGGAGCUCUCUGAAACUCGUCAAGGGGACUCCUCCGUUUCCAUCUUCUGCGCUCGCCUCAAGUCCAUCUCCGACCAGCUGCGCGACGCCGGCAAGAUCCUGGAUGAUGACGAGUUGGUCAUCCAACUUCUACGCGGCAUCAACAAAGAUCGUCAUCAGACUACUGCCAAAAUUAUAGAGAAGUCCCCAGCUCCCAUCCCUUUUGACGUUGCCGUCGGCAUGCUUCUGCACGACGAGAUCGGCAACAACUUCGCCGGCUCCACCCAUCACACCGCCCUCGCUGUCCAGCCGAGGGGUCCGUCGCCCGCGCCCUCGAUUGGGGCCUCCGGCGGCCAGGCUCGGCCGCCCGCUGCUGGUCUCGGCGGCGGCAAAGCCUCCUCUCCCUCACCCAACCAGGGACACAACAAACGCCGCCGCUACACCAACAAUGGCGGGUAUCAGGGGGCCGCGGCUGCACCGCCGUGGACGGGGCACGUCUACGCCUACCCAAUGGCACUCCCACCUCAACCUCGUCCGGCGCCCGGGAUCCUUGGUCCGCGGCCGCCGCACGCCUACGCCGCCUUCGGCGGCCACCUCCAGCAGCCGUCUCCGAUGGGCUACCCUCCACUGCAGCAGUACCUGCCGGCGGCGCCUCCUCCUCAUCAGCAGUUCCUGCCGGCGCCACAUCUUCCGCAGCAGUACCAGGCGCAGCAGCACCAGGCGCAGCCGUACUUCCACCCGCCCGCGGCCGCCGUCUCCAACGCCGUCGAUCCAGUCGAUCCAGUCGCCCAGCGGUGGCUAGGUUGCGGACUCCGGCGCCUCCUCUCAUCUAGCGGCUGA
This 1497-nucleotide ribosomal RNA is filed under the name Triticum aestivum (bread wheat). RNAcentral's name for it is "partial small subunit ribosomal RNA". Lineage: Eukaryota; Viridiplantae; Streptophyta; Magnoliopsida; Poales; Poaceae. The record is from RNAcentral.